This 546-nucleotide ribosomal RNA is filed under the name uncultured archaeon. RNAcentral's name for it is "partial 16S ribosomal RNA". It matches the Rfam family "Archaeal small subunit ribosomal RNA", at positions 330 to 879 of the family's 1478-position model. The record is from RNAcentral.
GUGCAGCAGGCGCGAAACUUCCGCAAUGCGGGCAACCGCGACGGGGCUACCCCGAGUGCCGGGCGAAGAGCCCGGCUUUUGCCCGGUCUAAAAAGCCGGGAGAAUAAGCGGGGGGCAAGUCUGGUGUCAGCCGCCGCGGUAAUACCAGCUCCGCGAGUGGUCGGGGUGUUUACUGGGCUUAAAGCGCCCGUAGCCGGCCCGGCAAGUCGCUCCUGAAAUCCCCGGGCUCAACCCGGGGGCGGGGGGCGAUACUGCCGGGCUAGGGGGCGGGAGAGGCCGCCGGUACUCCGGGGGUAGGGGCGAAAUCCGUUAAUCCCCGGAGGACCACCAGUGGCGAAAGCGGGCGGCCAGAACGCGCCCGACGGUGAGGGGCGAAAGCCGGGGGAGCAAAGGGGAUUAGAUACCCCUGUAGUCCCGGCCGUAAACGAUGCGGGCUAGCUGUCGGCCGGGCUUAGGGCCCGGCCGGUGGCGAAGGGAAACCGUUAAGCCCGCCGCCUGGGGAGUACGGCCGCAAGGCUGAAACUUAAAGGAAUUGGCGGGGGGCAC